Non-coding RNA from Saimiri boliviensis boliviensis (Bolivian squirrel monkey), 432 nucleotides. The record is from RefSeq and is a predicted model, not a curated record. Lineage: Eukaryota; Metazoa; Chordata; Mammalia; Primates; Cebidae.
GGGAGGGGAAGUGGCAGCCUCAAUGGCCUGGCAGCGGCGGUUCCUUCUCUUCUUGAAAAUUGUGAUCUCAUCUCUCCACCCGAGGGAGAAAAAACAGCCAUCACUAAGCCAUUCACGCUUUGUGCUUUUGUUAGCGGAGCCCCGGAAUCCCUGCAGCGCGCAUCUCAGGAUUCUCUGCAGAAGACAGCAAGAUGCCCCCAGGGAAUGUUUGUGAAGAGGCUGAAAGGAUUGGAAGCAAGCUGAAGAAAAAGAAGGAAGGAAAGAGAGACACCAGUAAAUCGCCAAUGUGAAGACAAGAGGUGGAGAAGAGGACUUACACAUAUCGUUUCUGUGACAUUUGAAAAUAAAUUUUUUACUCUAUACUAAUGGUGAAUGUAAUGUCUUCAGUUUGAGGGGCUUUAAGUGAAGUUCAUUAAAACCCACUACUUUCCA